GGCGGGACACGUGGUAUCCUGUCUGAAUAUGGGGGGACCAUCCUCCAAGGCUAAAUACUCCUGACUGACCGAUAGUGAACCAGUACCGUGAGGGAAAGGCGAAAAGAACCCCGGCGAGGGGAGUGAAAAAGAACCUGAAACCGUGUACGUACAAGCAGUGGGAGCACCCUUUGGGGUGUGACUGCGUACCUUUUGUAUAAUGGGUCAGCGACUUAUAUUCUGUAGCAAGGUUAACCGAAUAGGGGAGCCGGAGGGAAACCGAGUCUUAAUUGGGCGUUAAGUUGCAGGGUAUAGACCCGAAACCCGGUGAUCUAGCCAUGGGCAGGUUGAAGGUUGGGUAACACUAACUGGAGGACCGAACCGACUAAUGUUGAAAAAUUAGCGGAUGACCUGUGGCUGGGGGUGAAAGGCCAAUCAAACCGGGAGAUAGCUGGUUCUCCCCGAAAGCUAUUUAGGUAGCGCCUCGUGAAUUCAUCUCCGGGGGUAGAGCACUGUUUCGGCUAGGGGGCCAUCCCGGCUUACCAACCCGAUGCAAACUGCGAAUACCGGAGAAUGUUAUCACGGGAGACACACGGCGGGUGCUAACGUCCGUCGUGAAGAGGGAAACAACCCAGACCGCCAGCUAAGGUCCCAAAGUCAUGGUUAAGUGGGAAACGAUGUGGGAAGGCCCAGACAGCCAGGAUGUUGGCUUAGAAGCAGCCAUCAUUUAAAGAAAGCGUAAUAGCUCACUGGUCGAGUCGGCCUGCGCGGAAGAUGUAACGGGGCUAAACCAUGCACCGAAGCUGCGGCAGCGACGCUGAUGCGUUGUUGGGUAGGGGAGCGUUCUGUAAGCCUGUGAAGGUGGCCUGUGAGGGUUGCUGGAGGUAUCAGAAG
Molecule: ribosomal RNA, 873 nt
Filed under: Salmonella enterica
Lineage: Bacteria; Pseudomonadati; Pseudomonadota; Gammaproteobacteria; Enterobacterales; Enterobacteriaceae
Description: partial 23S ribosomal RNA
Rfam family: Bacterial large subunit ribosomal RNA
Source: RNAcentral